Sardina pilchardus (European sardine) is the source of this 1730-nucleotide long non-coding RNA. RefSeq lists it as uncharacterized. The record is from RefSeq and is a predicted model, not a curated record. Lineage: Eukaryota; Metazoa; Chordata; Actinopteri; Clupeiformes; Clupeidae. The transcript has 3 exons.
CUGAGCUCGGUAGCGAGAGAGCUAUGAAUAUUACCGACACACGUAAAAGAAUGAUCUGCAUAUGCGUUGGCGACUCUGGUCGUAGAUGUGACCCACUGUUUCACUGACUAAUCAGAAAACCAUCAUCAAAUAUUGCCUUUCAAACAAUUUCAAACCAUUUACUCGUCAGCCAGCGCUUUUGCUGCCCAAACUUCUAAAACUUAGGCAAUCAUUUUUCACUGCAAGCAAUGCAAUCCUAGUGGGUCGUGGUGGGCUCGUCAGUCAGCUCUUCUCAUGGAAAAUAUAGAAAAAACUUAUAUGCCAGCAAUGUGUUUUAUAUACAAAACUUGUAUGAUUUACUCUUGAAAGUGGCCCCUUUCUCGUUUUCCUCAUACAACGUCAUACAGUCCUUACAGGUUACAAUGUUUUAUAUGUUUCAGGUUACACAGAUUUAGCAAGGAUCUUAUAAUGGUUUCACUGGCAUAUAAAAACCUGAUAGAUUAAGAGUAAAUCAUAAACGUUUUGUAUAUAAAACACAUUGCUGGCAUAUAAGUUUUUCUAUAUCUUUUCCGUAUGGGUUUUGCUGCUCAAACCUAACAAUUCUCAUUUUGGUAGAUUGUGGUCGUCUUAAAUAUCCAUAUAAUGUCAUGUCUCAUGACCGGUCUCAUUAACAGUGGUCUUCUGUCACCACUGUAUCCCCAAAUUAUUGUUUCUAUCUUUUUGUUGCAUAGCUUUAGCUCACUUCAUCAUCCUAGGUAUGCCACAGCUAUCCCCCCCCCUCCUCUCCAUCUCUCCAUUUGAAACUCCAAAUAUAUGCCUAAAGUGUCCCCUCUUCUUUCUCCUUAUGCAGAUGUCCUGGCUCUCAACAAAGGCACCAAGCCUUUGCAUUCCCAUAAGCCUGACUUCCUGAUGUCCACUACACUCUGUUCUCAAUCUUCUCCAGUCUUUUGCAAACUGUGAUGUUCAGAUGUCCUAUAAGCCUGACUUCCUGAUGUUCACUACACUCCGUUCUCAACCUUCUCCGGUAUUCUGCAAACUGUGAAUGCCUCCUUGUGUUGGAUUCAUGAUGUUCACCAUACUGCACGGCCUACUUUUUUUCUUCGCAAGCUAUGGAAAGAAACUCUGUUCAGCUCAUGAAACGGACUGUUCACAUUUUUGGACUUUUGUGGAGGAAGCAGGGUAUCCUGGUAAUUUUAUUUUGCAGCUACUAUGCUCUCGUCAUAGAUACCUUGCAUCCUACCCAGUGAGUACAUUAUACGAUUUUGAUUUCCAGUAUCUGAUGGACAUUUUGACUCUCAUGUUGAAAUAUGAUUAUUUUAUCAUAUUUUCUCAUUACAACCUACAAUUUGUAUAUAUAGGCCCAACAAAGAGAGAAAUCUGAACUGGCAAAGCUGCUCUAUAUGCAUCACAGGUCGAUAUUGUUGACCUUCACAAAUGACUUCCGUCAGUCAGUUUCAGUUGUACAUUUAGAUAAUUCCAAACAUUGAUGUCAACACACUGCUGUUCUUGUACCUAAUAAUAACUUUGAGUUAGUCAUGGCAAAAUGUGUGCAAAAUAUGUGAUGGUUGACUUCAGAGUAAACACUCAUUUUUGACAAAACCCUUCACAUUGAACUUGUAGUAGAGUUGUUUGCAUUAAUUGAACAGGCCAUCUUUGUUUUUUGUAUGUGAAGGUCAUUAACAAGGAAUAAAAUGAUUGUUUUCAUAUUAAACACCUUUGUUAUUCAUUUUGCUUAGUAAGACUUGAGACAA